GUCCUAGUAGCUCAGAUGGAUAGAGCAGUCGCCUCCUAAGCGGCAGGUCGCACGUUCGACUCGUGUCUAGGACGCCA
This 77-nucleotide transfer RNA is filed under the name Erysipelotrichaceae bacterium. Its description in RNAcentral is "tRNA-Arg". It matches the Rfam family "tRNA". From Rfam's summary of the family: Transfer RNA (tRNA) molecules are approximately 80 nucleotides in length. Their secondary structure includes four short double-helical elements and three loops (D, anti-codon, and T loops). The record is from RNAcentral. Lineage: Bacteria; Bacillati; Bacillota; Erysipelotrichia; Erysipelotrichales; Erysipelotrichaceae.